This 497-nucleotide ribosomal RNA is filed under the name uncultured bacterium. RNAcentral's name for it is "partial 16S ribosomal RNA". It matches the Rfam family "Bacterial small subunit ribosomal RNA", at positions 28 to 507 of the family's 1533-position model. The record is from RNAcentral.
GAUGAACGCUGGCGGCGUGCCUAAUACAUGCAAGUCGAGCGGACGGACGAGAAUCUUGCUUCUCUGAUGUUAGCGGCGGACGGGUGAGUAACACGUGGAUAACCUACCUAUAAGACUGGGAUAACUUCGGGAAACCGUAGCUAAUACCGGAUAAUAUUUUGAACCACAUGGUUCAAAAGUGAAAGACGGUCUUGCUGUCACUUAUAGAUGGUUCCGCGCUGAUUUAGCUAGUUGGGAAGGUAACGGCUUACCAAGGCAACUAUGCAUAGCCGACCUGAGAGGGGGAUAGGCGACACUGGAACUGAGACGCGGUCCAGACUCCUACGGGAGGCAGCAGUAGGGAAUGUUACGCAAUGGGCGAAAGCCUGACGGAGCAACGCCGCGUGAGUGAUGAAGGUCUUCGGAUCGUAAAACUCUGUUAUUAGGGAAGAACAUAUGUGUAAGUAAAUGUGCAGAUCUUGACGGUACCUAAUCAGAAAGCAACGGCUAACUACGUG